This 562-nucleotide ribosomal RNA is filed under the name uncultured bacterium. RNAcentral describes it as "bacterial SSU rRNA". It matches the Rfam family "Bacterial small subunit ribosomal RNA", at positions 338 to 916 of the family's 1533-position model. The record is from RNAcentral.
CCUACGGGAGGCAGCAGUGGGGAAUCUUGCGCAAUGGGCGAAAGCCUGACGCAGCCAUGCCGCGUGAAUGAUGAAGGUCUUAGGAUUGUAAAAAUUCUUUCACCGGGGACGAUAAUGACGGUACCCGGAGAAGAAGCCCCGGCUAACUUCGUGCCAGCAGCCGCGGUAAUACGAAGGGGGGCUAGCGUUGCUCGGAAUUACUGGGCGUAAAGGGAGCGUAGGCGGAUAGUUUAGUCAGAGGUGAAAGCCCAGGGCUCAACCUUGGAAUUGCCUUUGAUACUGGCUAUCUUGAGUAUGGGAGAGGUUAGCGGAACUCCGAGUGUAGAGGUGAAAUUCGUAGAUAUUCGGAAGAACACCAGUGGCGAAGGCGGCUAACUGGCCCAUUACUGACGCUGAGGCUCGAAAGCGUGGGGAGCAAACAGGAUUAGAUACCCUGGUAGUCCACGCCGUAAACGAUGAGUGCUAGUUGUCGGCAUGCAUGCAUGUCGGUGACGCAGCUAACGCAUUAAGCACUCCGCCUGGGGAGUACGGUCGCAAGAUUAAAACUCAAAGGAAUUGACGG